RNAcentral lists this ribosomal RNA (499 nucleotides) under uncultured bacterium. Its description in RNAcentral is "bacterial SSU rRNA". It matches the Rfam family "Bacterial small subunit ribosomal RNA", at positions 21 to 507 of the family's 1533-position model. The record is from RNAcentral.
GGCUCAGGAUGAACGCUAGCUACAGGCUUAACACAUGCAAGUCGAGGGGAAACGAUAGAGAAAGCUUGCUUUUUCUAGGCGUCGACCGGCGCACGGGUGAGUAACGCGUAUCCAACCUGCCCAUCACUUGGGGAUAACCUUGCGAAAGUAAGACUAAUACCCAAUGAUAUCUCUAGAAGACAUCUGAAAGAGAUUAAAGAUUUAUCGGUGAUGGAUGGGGAUGCGUCUGAUUAGCUUGUUGGCGGGGUAACGGCCCACCAAGGCGACGAUCAGUAGGGGUUCUGAGAGGAAGGUCCCCCACAUUGGAACUGAGACACGGUCCAAACUCCUACGGGAGGCAGCAGUGAGGAAUAUUGGUCAAUGGACGAGAGUCUGAACCAGCCAAGUAGCGUGCAGGAUGACGGCCCUAUGGGUUGUAAACUGCUUUUAUAAGGGAAUAAAGUGAGUCUCGUGAGGCUUUUUGCAUGUACCUUAUGAAUAAGGACCGGCUAAUUCCGUG